CUACGGGGGGCUGCAGUGGGGAAUUUUGCGCAAUGGGGGGAACCCUGACGCAGCAAUACCGCGUGAGUGAAGAAGGCCUUUGGGUCGUAAAGCUCUUUUCUGAAGGAAGAUAGUGACGGUACUUCAGGAAUAAGCACCGGCUAACUCCGCGCCAGCAGCCGCGGUAAUACGGAGGGUGCGAGCGUUGUUCGGAUUUACUGGGCGUAAAGGGCACGUAGGCGGCCUGGCAAGUUAAGGGUGAAAUCCCGGGGCUUAACUCCGGAACUGCUCUUAAAACUGCCAAGCUAGAGAUAGUCAGAGGCGGGUGGAAUUCCUGGUGUAGAGGUGAAAUUCGUAGAUAUCAGGAGGAACACCGGUGGCGAAGGCGGCCCGCUGGGGCUAUUCUGACGCUAAGGUGCGAAAGCGUGGGGAGCGAACGGGAUUAGAUACCCCUGUAGUC
This 439-nucleotide ribosomal RNA is filed under the name uncultured bacterium. RNAcentral describes it as "partial 16S ribosomal RNA". It matches the Rfam family "Bacterial small subunit ribosomal RNA", at positions 339 to 795 of the family's 1533-position model. The record is from RNAcentral.